ACUGUUAAACAUUGUUCGUUUCUGUAUUGCCAAAUUUCCAAGUUGCUAGUUGGUGAUGAAAUGAUGGUCAUUGGUAGGCCUACGUUCGUUAUCAGUAUGUUAAUAACCUGGUGGCAUUAUUGCGUGAAUGCUUUGCACACUUAAUGAAUAAGGUCCUCAAGUGUGUGGAGUUUCGCUGAGUUCGUUGUUUAUUUACAUUUUCCUCAGCAUAACUGUACAGCUGACACAGCUGCCUUCUGUAUCAUAACAAAGCCUGUCACUUCCACGUUUCGUUCUUUUUAUGUGACCGAAGUCACUGGCUACUGCACCAGAGAGGGCCUCUGCACUCAUUGCUGGUCCUAUGAUGCCAUCUAUUGGCGAUAACGUGCAACAGCAUAAUUAAACUAAAAGACAACUUCUGACAGGACAACAAAAAGACAGGGAAUGAGAAUAAGGGAAUAACAAAAAGACAAAAAUGGGGGGUCCACUACACUUGCAUACAAACUGAUUGUGAUGCUGUCACUCAUUUUCUAGUCUAUAUCUUGGACUGAAAAAGGAUUACAUUAUUAUGUUUCAGGUGUUUUGCCCCUGCGGUUGUGAGGAGGAUGCUGUGUAGGUGGCAGCGUGAACAUGUGUAGUAAACAUCCUUUCCCCAUCCUCAUGUGACAUGGUUUCAUUCUGUAGGCAAACAACAAACCACACUUCACCUGGAAAACAGAGCCAGGACUCACUGUCAGAUGUCUGCAAAUGUACAGUAGGCUACACGCCAGCAGGUCUCACCAUAGUCAGCAUCAUCAAGGAUUGUCACUCCGACCUGAGAAGAGGCCCCAUAGAGACACGGACAAGGACCAGCCACGGUUGCCAGUGCACAACUGAGGACCCGACCAGCCUGCUGCCAUCUAUGAUACUAUAUAGUACCCGGUAUGUAACAUUACACUACACUCAGCCAAUGCUUUCAUCCAAAGUGACUUUCACUUAUUUUUACAUGUGCCUCCCAAUUUGAAGGGGCAAAA
This is a long non-coding RNA of Engraulis encrasicolus (European anchovy), 992 nucleotides long. RefSeq lists it as uncharacterized. The transcript has 3 exons. The record is from RefSeq and is a predicted model, not a curated record. NCBI's taxonomy places the organism in Eukaryota, Metazoa, Chordata, Actinopteri, Clupeiformes, Engraulidae.